RNAcentral lists this ribosomal RNA (253 nucleotides) under uncultured prokaryote. RNAcentral describes it as "partial 16S ribosomal RNA". It matches the Rfam family "Bacterial small subunit ribosomal RNA", at positions 524 to 776 of the family's 1533-position model. The record is from RNAcentral.
UACGAAGGGUGCUAGCGUUAUUCGGAAUGAUUGGGCGUAAAGGGUGCGCAGACGGUUUGUUAAGUCAACUGUUAAAAACCUCAGCUUAACUGAGGACAUGCGGUAGAUACUGGCAAACUAGAGGGUGGAAGAGAGAAGCGGAAUUCUCGGAGUAGCGGUAAAAUGCGUAGAUCUCGAGAGGAACACCGAUGGCGAAGGCAGCUUCUUGGUCCACUUCUGACGUUCAUGCACGAAAGCGUGGGGAGCAAACAGG